RNAcentral lists this unclassified non-coding RNA (357 nucleotides) under soil metagenome. RNAcentral describes it as "partial contains 5.8S ribosomal RNA, internal transcribed spacer 2, and large subunit ribosomal RNA". The stretch from base 1 to 120 matches the Rfam family "5.8S ribosomal RNA", at positions 35 to 154 of the family's 154-position model. The record is from RNAcentral.
GAUGAAGAACGUAGCGAAAUGCGAUAAGUAAUGUGAAUUGCAGAAUUCAGUGAAUCAUCGAAUCUUUGAACGCACAUUGCGCCCGUCAGUAUUCUGGCGGGCAUGCCUGUUCGAGCGUCAUUACGCCCCUCAAGUCCCCUGUGGACUUGGUGUUGGGGAUCGGCGAGGCUGGUUUUCCAGCACAGCCGUCCCUUAAAUUAAUUGGCGGUCUCGCCGUGGCCCUCCUCUGCGCAGUAGUAAAACACUCGCAACAGGAGCCCGGCGCGGUCCACUGCCGUAAAACCCCCCAACUUUUUAUAGUUGACCUCGAAUCAGGUAGGACUACCCGCUGAACUUAAGCAUAUCAAUAACGGAUGA